GACGAACGCUGGCGGCGUGCUUAACACAUGCAAGUCGAACGGAAAGGCCCCGCUUUUGUGGGGUGCUCGAGUAGCGAACGGGUGAGUAACACGUGAGUAACCUGCCCUUGACUUUGGGAUAACUUCAGGAAACUGGGGCUAAUACCGGAUAGGAGCUCCUGCUGCAUGGUGGGGGUUGGAAAGUUUCGGCGGUUGGGGGUGGACUCGCGGCUUAUCAGCUUGUUGGUGGGGUAGUGGCUUACCAAGGCUUUGACGGGUAGCCGGCCUGAGAGGGUGACCGGCCACAUUGGGACUGAGAUACGGCCCAGACUCCUACGGGAGGCAGCAGUGGGGAAUAUUGCACAAUGGGCGGAAGCCUGAUGCAGCAACGCCGCGUGCGGGAUGACGGCCUUCGGGUUGUAAACCGCUUUCGCCUGUGACGAAGCGUGAGUGACGGUAAUGGGUAAAGAAGCACCGGCUAACUACGUG
Molecule: ribosomal RNA, 468 nt
Filed under: uncultured bacterium
Lineage: Bacteria
Description: partial 16S ribosomal RNA
Rfam family: Bacterial small subunit ribosomal RNA
Source: RNAcentral